Molecule: ribosomal RNA, 253 nt
Filed under: uncultured bacterium
Lineage: Bacteria
Description: partial 16S ribosomal RNA
Rfam family: Bacterial small subunit ribosomal RNA
Source: RNAcentral
UACGAAGGGUGCUAGCGUUGUUCGGAAUCACUGGGCGUAAAGCGCGCGUAGGUGGCUAUUCAAGUCAGGGGUGAAAUCCUGGGGCUUAACCCCAGAACUGCCCUUGAAACUGUUUAGCUUGAGUGUUGGAGGGGAUAGCGGAAUUGCUAAUGUAGAGGUGAAAUUCGUAGAUAUUAGCAGGAACACCGGUGGCGAAGGCGGCUAUCUGGACAACAACUGACACUGAGGCGCGAAAGUGUGGGGAUCAAACAGG